Molecule: ribosomal RNA, 259 nt
Filed under: uncultured bacterium
Lineage: Bacteria
Description: partial 16S ribosomal RNA
Rfam family: Bacterial small subunit ribosomal RNA
Source: RNAcentral
UACGAAGGGUGCAAACGUUGCUCGGAAUUAUUGGGCGUAAAGCGCACGUAGGCGGCUUUGCAAGUCCCAUGUGAAAUCCCACGGCUCAACCGUGGAAGUGCAUGGGAAACUGCAGAGCUUGAGUACUUAAGAGGAUCGCGGAAUUCCCCCAAGUAGAGGUGAAAAUUCGUAGAUAUGGGGAGGAACACCCCGUGGCGAAGGCGGCUCUCUGGGGCCGAUACUGACGCUGAGGAGCGAAAAGCGUGGGGGAGCAAACAGG